CGUCCAGGUCUGUAUGUGAGGAUUGCAUAGGAUCUAGCGUUACUACAUGUGCGGUAUCAUAUUCAAGGACAUGUAUAGAAGGGACAGUCAUACGCCGAGUAGAAGAUGGAACAGAUUUGGAAGUAGACUCAAAAUGAGAUAUGUUAGAGUGAUGGAGAUCUAUCACGGAACUGUUUAUCCCAGUAUGCAAUAGCGUGGUACAAUUGUUGAAACAUUGGAGUUGGCGAAGGGCAAACACUUUCAGGAUUGUUUGUCGUACAAGGUGUAAGUGGUUGAGGACACGACAACAAACGCCUUUGAAGUAUUGUAGGAGAACGCGGUGCAUAAUUAGAUAAGCAUACUGUGGAUAUCAAAAGCAAGUAUUUAAGGUGACAAAUGUCAGGAAGGGGGCAAUAAUAAUAUUGUAAUUAAUAUCAAUAGCAUUCAAGAACAGAACUUAGCUAAGUAGUUUUGUAACUCUAUUAAGGUUGAUAAUAGAGAAGAAUUUAAUAUUUUACUUAUUCAAUGUGAAAAUCAUCUCAUCUCUCACACCAACUGUUAUUUUAUAUAGCUUACCAUGCUCGUCAAAAUGUUUUUCAUAAUCUGCUUCACUCCAUUGAGUUUCAUGGGUAGUAGUAGUAUCAUGUGGCAAAGCACGUGGUAAUGCACUUGUCGAACGUACUAUUAACGAGGAACAACGCAAGGAUAGUUCAAGUGCAUCUAACCAACAUUUACCAGCAGCCUGCGAAGGAGCUCUAAAGAUCAAGUAAGAUGUUGGCAAUGGUUGUACAACAGCACCUAAAAAUAUUGCUCGUAUAAGGAUAUAUUUCUUACUUAAUUCACAAAGAAUUUAUUAUUUACCAAUGGAUUCUUUUUCUGGGCCUCUUGGAGCCCAUAUCGAUUGUUCUAAAGGAUGAAAUAAUUUAAAACAAAAUCCAUCCUUUUUGCUUGGACGCUCUAUCACUUGACAUGUAUUAAGCAAAACCGUUCCCACCCAAUGAUUGCUCUGCAAUAAUUAUGUGGACAUAACUUUGAAUGAAACAAACAAUUAUUAAGUUAAUAAUGGAUAUAGAUGAGCACUUUUGUUUUUGGGCUUUUGUACAGUAGUAGCAGGCCAGGUUUUAAAAUACACCACAGUUUUGUCCAACUUUUUAACGUUCCACGAACUUUCAGCCAAUCGCUCAUAACAAUGACAGUUGGAUCCUUAAAUGAACUUAAGAGUUCAUUGGCAACUCUCUUCUUCUCCAUUCGAUAAUUUUUUCUCUGAGCCUUGUAGGAUUCUUUUCUUGUUAAUUUACAGGAAUCUAAAGACUACAAAAUAGAAUGGAAAAUAUGUUAUAAUUAGUAGUUCAAAAUAACAAGGUAAAUGGUUGAAAGUCAUAAAUUAUGUACCUUAUCAGAUGCAUUAUCUGUUUUUUGAUUAGUUUCACCCAUUGCAGUUAGUCCUAUAACACAAAUUAAUCAAACCAUUUGCUUGAGUAACAUUCAGGUAAAUAUUAUCAUCAUACAUAUUAGCAAAAUGGUAAUAUAACUCUGUUUAUUAGAAUGAUGUUAAUGAGAAACUUUA
This is a non-coding RNA of Osmia lignaria (orchard mason bee), 1546 nucleotides long. The record is from RefSeq and is a predicted model, not a curated record. NCBI's taxonomy places the organism in Eukaryota, Metazoa, Arthropoda, Insecta, Hymenoptera, Megachilidae.